AACGAACGCUGGCGGCAGGCUUAACGCAUGCAAGUCGAGCGCCCCGCAAGGGGAGCGGCAGACGGGUGAGUAACGCGUGGGAAUCUACCCAGCUCUACGGAAUAACUCAGGGAAACUUGUGCUAAUACCGUAUACGUCCGAUAGGAGAAAGAUUUAUCGGAGUUGGAUGAGCCCGCGUUGGAUUAGCUAGUUGGUGGGUA
This 200-nucleotide ribosomal RNA is filed under the name uncultured bacterium. RNAcentral describes it as "partial 16S ribosomal RNA". It matches the Rfam family "Bacterial small subunit ribosomal RNA", at positions 29 to 258 of the family's 1533-position model. The record is from RNAcentral.